ACUUUAGCGCUGAAUUUUGGUUCUAUUUGGAAAAUCCAAAUGAGAUUAAAAGGGAAUCAAGUGAAAAGAUCUUCGAUUGUAAAUCGAAAAUCUUCAUUCUUGAACUGUUCCCGCAACUGUAAGCUAUAAAGCUUGUUAUUACCUUCAGUCACUGGAUGUUUAUCUGGGAAGACCAAUAACAAGACGCAAGUCAGGAGACCUGCCUUAAUUCAUAAUCAAAA
RNAcentral lists this non-coding RNA (221 nucleotides) under Flavobacteriales bacterium ALC-1. RNAcentral also lists the same sequence under 1 other name. The record is from RNAcentral. Lineage: Bacteria; Pseudomonadati; Bacteroidota; Flavobacteriia; Flavobacteriales.